Molecule: ribosomal RNA, 410 nt
Filed under: uncultured cyanobacterium
Lineage: Bacteria; Bacillati; Cyanobacteriota
Description: bacterial SSU rRNA
Rfam family: Bacterial small subunit ribosomal RNA
Source: RNAcentral
AAUGGGCGAAAGCCUGACGGAGCAAGACCGCGUGAGGGAGGAAGGCUCUUGGGUUGUAAACCUCUUUUCUCAGGGAAGAAGCUCUGACGGUACCUGAGGAAUCAACCUCGGCUAACUCCGUGCCAGCAGCCGCGGUAAUACGGAGGAGGCAAGCGUUAUCCGGAAUUAUUGGGCGUAAAGCGUCCGCAGGUGGCGAUUCAAGUCUGCUGUCAAAGCACGGGGCUUAACUCCGUUAAGGCAGUGGAAACUGAAUAGCUAGAGUGCCGUAGGGGUAGAGGGAAUUCCCGGUGUAGCGGUGAAAUGCGUAGAGAUCGGGAAGAACAUCGGUGGCGAAAGCGCUCUACUGGACGGCAACUGACACUCAGGGACGAAAGCUAGGGGAGCGAAUGGGAUUAGAUACCCCAGUAGUC